AUCCCUUCUCGGCCUUUUGGUUAAGAUCAAGCAGUAGGGAUCUGUUGUUAUCAGUUUAACAUUUGAUAUGUCCUCUAUCAAGGACAGCAUGUUAAAUGGAUUUUUAGAGUAGGGAUAUGGUCUUGGAGCUCACUUUGUCCAUGCUGUACACCGACUAGUAUUGCACUUGCUUCCAGGCACAGUGCAGCUCAU
This is a small nuclear RNA of Pteronotus mesoamericanus, 192 nucleotides long. RefSeq annotates it as U2 spliceosomal RNA. The transcript has a single exon. Lineage: Eukaryota; Metazoa; Chordata; Mammalia; Chiroptera; Mormoopidae. The record is from RefSeq and is a predicted model, not a curated record.